This is a long non-coding RNA of Gopherus flavomarginatus (Mexican gopher tortoise), 3480 nucleotides long. RefSeq lists it as uncharacterized. NCBI's taxonomy places the organism in Eukaryota, Metazoa, Chordata, Testudines, Testudinidae. The record is from RefSeq and is a predicted model, not a curated record. The transcript has 4 exons.
CAGCAUGUGACAGUUUCAUGAGACAUGAGGGCCCAGCUUACUUUCCUGAGCCUGGAUGACUGCGAGACUGACCUCAGCUCCUCCCAAGGAUGCCCUGAAGUUGUGAGGCAGCCAAGGCAAGGAAAUGAACUCUAAGAAAUCAACGUGCAACAUGUGACUUCCAGCAACUGUCAGCGCAGCCCUGUGGAAAGGAAACCAAGCAGCACAGCACCGUAAGGAAACUGACACAUGAAAGGAAACUGGACACAUUCUGUGGUAUGGGGAAACAAGUACUGGGAGCUGAAUGAUUGAAGCCUGGGUCAAUGCCCAAACCAGGAAAAGAAACCAGAGCUCCUGACUCCCUGAUCUGUGCUGGAAUAAAACUUAUCACUUAUUUGCAUAACAAUUGGAAGCUAACAUUAAUUAAUGAUUCUACCACCAGGCCACAGCCCCUUCUAACCACGCUAUUUUCUCUGGACUUUUUCUAUUAAAACUUAAUCCAGAUUUCCAAUCAACAGAGAUUUCCUACGGCUUGCCAACGUGCAUUGUAAUGUGGCCACUGAUGUUAGAUACAAGCUCACUGAACCUUCUGUGGAAUAAACCUCCAGAUCUCCCUGCCACCCACUUGAGGUUUAUUCCACAGAAGGUUCAGUGGUGAACGGAGUGGUACAGUAUUUUUCCUGCUUAAAUUGUUGUAUAGUGUUGUUGUGGUGCACUGUCCAAUAGUUACCAUGUUUCACCCAGGAGGCAGCCAUUUGUGAUGGGUGAAGUGACCCUUUGCAUAUCAAUGUGUAUAGCACUUUGGGAUCCUUUAGGUUGAAAGCUGCUUGACAGAGUCACCAGGUGGUCGGCUGAGGUGGGUUGGAGUAGGGGCUGGCUAGCGUAGAAACAGGCACAGCUAGAGCAGAAGCAGGAGGUUGAAACUACUGGCAAUAGGAAUAGUAGUGACCCUGAUCACACUGCUUCCCUUAAGAGCCUAUGUACUUGCCUUGGCAUUACCUAGGUCAGUGGUUUUCAAUCUUUUUUCAUUUGCAGACUCCUAAAAUAUUUUGAAUGGAGGGUGGAAAUCUUAGACCCAGUCUGCAGACCUCAGGGGUCCAUGGAUCACAGGUUGAAAACCACUGUUCUAUGGUAACUAGGGCUGUCAAGCGAUUUAAAAAAAAAAUCACAAUUAAUUGUACAAUUAAAAAUAAUAGAAAACCAUUUAUUUUAAUAUUUGUGGAUGUUUUCUACAUUUUCAAAUAUUGAUUUCAAUUGCAACAGAAUACAAAGUGUACUGUGUUCACUUUAUUUUUAUUACAAAUAUUUGCACUGUAAGAAACAAAGUAGGUGAAUUGAAAAACACUACAAGUAUUGUAGUGCAAUCUCUUUAUCAUGAAAGUUGAACUUACAAAUGUAGAAUUAUAUACAAUAAAAACCUGCCUUCAAAAGUAAAACAAUGUAAAACUUUAGAGCCUACAAGUCCUUGUUCAGCCAAUCGCUCAGACAAUCAAAUUUGUUUAUAUUUGCAGAAGAUAAUACUGCCUGCUGCUUGUUUACAGUCUCACUUGAAAGUGAGAACAGCUGGUGCAUGGCACUGUUGUAGCCAGCAUUGCAAGAUAUUUACAUGCCAGAUGCGCUAAAGAGUCAUGUCCCUUGAUGCUUCAACCACUAUUCCAGAGGACAUGUGUUCAUGCUGAUGAUGGGUUCUGCUCGAUAAUGAUCCAAAGCAGUACGGACCGACACAUGUUUAUUUUCAUCAUCUGAGUCAGAUACCACCAGCAGAAGGUUGAUUUUCCUUUUUGGUGGUUUGAGUUCUGUAGUUUACACAUUGGAGUGUUGCUCUUUUAAGACUUCUGAAAGCAUGCUCCACGCGUCAUCCUCUCAGAUUUUGGAAGACACUUCAGAUUCUUAAAUGUUGGGUUGAGUGUUGUAGCUAUCUUUAGAAAUUUUACAUUAGUACCUUCUUUGCAUUGUCAAAUCUGCAGUGAAAGUGUUCUUAAAACGAACAACAUGUGCUGGGUCAUCAUUCGAGACUGCUAUAACAUGAAAUUUAUGGUAGAAUGUGGGUAAAACACAGCAGGAGACAUACAGUUCUCUCUCAAGGAGUUCAAUCACUAAUCAGCAUGGAAGCAUGUCCUCUGGAACGAUGGCCAAAGCAUGAAGAGGCUUAUGAAUCGCUAGUGCAUCUGGCACAUAACUAUCUUGAGACACUAGCUACAACAGUGCCAUGCAAAUGCCUGUUCUCACUUUCAGGUGACAUUGUAAUUAAGAAGUGAGCAGCAUUAUUGCCCGUAAAUGUAAAAAAAUAAAGUUUCUUCUUAGUGAUUAGCUGAACAAGAAGUAGGACUGAGUGGACUUGCAGGCUCUAAAGUUUUACAUUGUUUUGUUUGAGUGCAGUUAUAUAACAAAACAAUCCUUACAUUUGUAAGUUGCACUUUCAUGAUAGAGAGAUUGCAAUACAGUACUUGUAUGAGGUGAAUUGAAAAAUGCUAUUUCUUUAUCAAUUUUACAACGCAAAUAUCUGUAAUAAAAAUAAUAUAAGUGAGCACUGCACAUUUUGUAUUCUGUGUCGUAAUUGAAAUUGAUAUAUUUGAAAAUGAAGAAAAAUAUCCACAAAUAUUUAAUAAAUUUCAACUGGUAUUCUGUUUAACAAUGCCAUUAAUCACAAUUAAUUUUUUUUGAGUUAAUCGCAUGAGUUAACUGCAAUUAAUCAACAGCCCUAAUGGUAACGACAACCUUUCGUGGACCCCAUAAACAGUUUGUGGAUUCCCAGCGGUCUGCGGACCACAGGUUGAAAACCACUAACCUAGGUGCAACCUCACCUGUGGAUUGGCUGAAUCCUAGUUGAAUGGCAUGGCAUCUAUAAUAAAACCUGUGAGUCAUUGGUUCUCAUGACUUAUACUCACUAUUCCAGAAUGACUCAGCGGGCUUAAGCAGGCUCAGGUAUCGUAAAUUACUGUCAUCAGCAAAAGAUGAUAAAUUAAUUCUUUGUAUUUCUUUACCAACUCUCAGUUCAGCAUUUCAAAAUGCAAGACAAAAAUUAAUUAGUUAAGCUCAGAGGCCACUAAAUAUUAAUCCCAUUGUACAGAGAGGGAAAUUAAGGCACAACAAAAUUGUGAUUUGCCCCAGGGCACAGAAGUGAGUUAGUGGCAGAGCCAGGUGUAUAAUCAAUCACUUACUGUUCUCUAACCACCAGACUAUACUUCCUCUCUCCUUUUGCCCCAAAAAUCAUCCUUAUUCUUUGCCACCUUUUAUGACCAACCAUCAAUGAAAUAAUUGCUUUGUAUUCUUCCUCCUGGAAAUACAGGGAGUCCUCGGACUUACGACACAAUUUAUUCCUCAGAAUUGCUUUUCCCAUAGGCAUCAAUGGUAUGAAGGGGGGGGAUUGGAUCCUGAACCAAGGCUUGAUACACUAUUUUCACCACAAUAACCCAGAUUUUUGUACUAAAUGAAUUACAGAUGACUAAUGUUGCAACAUCAAUGUAUUUACUGUACACUGUAUUUUGUAAACAGCAUUCA